Anguilla rostrata (American eel) is the source of this 575-nucleotide long non-coding RNA. RefSeq lists it as uncharacterized. NCBI's taxonomy places the organism in Eukaryota, Metazoa, Chordata, Actinopteri, Anguilliformes, Anguillidae. The transcript has 5 exons. The record is from RefSeq and is a predicted model, not a curated record.
UUCUGAGCGUCUUUCUGCUUUGGUGAGAGUUUCCUGGCUUCUAGUAAAUCGCUGGAUCCUACUGUGAACCAGUUGUUGCUGCAUCUAGGUAUCUGCAAGCCAGAGCGAGUGAUUGAUUCGCCUGGCUGAGGUAGCCUAAUAGUAAAGUGAGGGUGUGUCUUCACCAAUCAAGAUGAGGUGGCACGCGUGGUGGACAGAGUAGAGCCCAGGAUUGUACAUGACUGCAAAAAGGCAGAAGAAUGGGUUAAAGCAAACCAGCAUGUCUUUUCAGCCAAGGUGGAGUUGCCCGAUGCACUGAAUUUGGGGGAAGAGGAACUGGCAGAGGCUGCACAGCUGUAUGGAAAGGUUUGGGUUGAGGAAACGAGUGAGGGCCUGGACGAACAUGAGAGGGAAUCGAUCUUAGAGCCAUUCAAGUUUGUAUUUUACGACAUUGAAGACGUGGAAGUUUUGUGAAGAAAUGACAGAUAGCCAAGGGUAUUUGGCGUACUGUGAAUGCUGAAUGGAAAACAACUUAUGACUUUGAAUACAAGUAGUAGCACACUACUAUUGUUGUGAUAUGCUGUGUUUGCUGAAUA